UGUUCAUUCCAAAAUGACGGACCCGACAGCAUCGCCGGAGGAUCACUGGAACAAAAACGAUGGGGCUUUUAGUGACAAUGGAUUUGACCCCAGUUUCUUUGCUGAGAAUGUCAGAAAGGGUACCGUGGUCUCCAGGGCCAACAGCAUUGGAUCCACAAGUGCCUCAUCAGUACCAAAUACAGAUGACGAAGACAGCGACUACAAGGAGUCCUACAAAGACCGGCGGAGACAGGCGCACACACAGGCAGAGCAGAAGCGACGGGACGCUAUCAAGAAAGGCUAUGAUGACCUGCAGGCCAUAGUUCCCACCUGCCAGCAGCAGUCUGAGUUUGCUGUGGGCACACAGAAGAUCAGCAAGGCCACAGUGCUGCAGAAAACCAUCGACUACAUCCAGUUUCUGCAUAAGGAGAAGAAGAAGCAGGAGGAGGAAGUGUCCAUGCUGAGGAAGGAAGUAAUGGCGCUGAAGAUCAUGAAAACGAACUAUGAGCACAUCGUGAAGGCCCAUCAGAACAACCCUCAGCAGGGGGACGAACAGGUGUCGGACCAGGUCAAGUUCAGUGUGUUUCAGAACAUCAUGGACUCCCUGUUCCAGUCGUUCAGCAGCUCUGUGUCUGUGGCCAGCUUCCAGGAGCUCUCCGCCUGCGUCUUCAGCUGGAUCGAGGAGUACUGCAAGCCGCAGACUCUACGUGAGUUUGUGGUGGGCGUUCUGCGGCAGCUGAACAGCCAGCUAUAUUAAUCGUGGCUAGGUGUUAACUCUGGACUGGACUCUCCCCUCAGGGACGGCGCCAGGAUCCACUCCAGGUUCUCAGGGUCUGGAGAUCUUGCACCAAAUGUAUCAGGACCAUUUGGGCCACAUUCGGGUGCAGAAUGUUGCUGAACCCUUGGGAUUGAAACUCGAUGAAGCCAACAGAUUUUGUUCCUAAUUCUACAUGUAAGAGUUUUUUUCUUAUACCCAUCUGAAUGUUCCAAAAUCGUACAGGUUGAAGCUCUGGGCCUGGUUUCCCAAAGGCAUCUUAGGCCAAAUUCAUUGUUGGGACCUUUUGUAAGAGGUUCAAUCUCCAAGUGGUUUCCCAAAGCCAUUGUUAUGGAAGUUGCACUUAAAGGCUUGUUAUAUUAUGACCAAGACCACUCAUUAGUUUUGCAGUUAUGUGCAAAACCGAGUACACCGCCUGGAAACAUUUCUUUUGGUUACAUAUUUGGAAACAUUAGCUAAAUUCCCACCACAUUCAUUGCUAAAUUGAUGAUUCACUGAUGAAUGUAAUUUUCUGGAGGUGUCUGUUUUCCACAGGUACUUUUUCUCUUCAAUAUUACUUUAUGCAAAAUCUCUGUAAAACAUUGAAUUAAUAGGUAUAGGUGUUUGUUCAUUUUCUGACUACAAAUAAAUGUUUACAGUUCUUACAAACUACGGUAGGAUAUAAAAUGUUUCCAGUUAAGAUAAAAUGGCAUUAAGACCGCAGUAUGGUGCCUUUGGAAAGUAUUUUGGGAAUUAUGUUCCCCCAGCAUCCAAGUGCAAUUUACAGUACAGUACAAAAUAAGCGUAAUAUGAGAACAUAUAGUUACCAUAGCAGCAGAGAAUCCUAAAAGUGACACAAGAUGCAUUGGAGUUCAAUUUGGAGUUUCAUUACAAAUGCUCUGAAAGGGCUACUUAUGUAGUAAAAUUGGCACAUUUCUAAAAUUGUUUUCGCUUUGCCAUUAUGGGGUAGUUAAUGGAAUUAAUGGAAAGAAAAUAUUUAAAUCCAAGUCAAUGAAACAGAAUUUGUGAAAGGGUCUUGAGUAUACCUUUUAGUGAACUGUAGGUUAUCUCACUGGCCUCUUGUGGUGUGUAGGGUUUGUUAUUAGUAUAAUUAAAGGGUAAGCCUUUUAAGCCAUCAGUCAGUAUUUAGAUAGGUGACAAUGUUUUUAGCUGUCAUCAGAUUGUGAAAUAAUUAUUUUGUUGUAAGAUUUGAAUGGAGAAAUCUGAUCCAAGGGCAGUGCUCCCUUUCUUUUGAUCAUGAGUGCGUCGACAUAGUCUAACGACAUGCACUCUGUCCAGAGGCUUUGGGAAACAUUUUCUGUCUGUUGCAGGAAAGGUGCAUUGUUAAAACACUCAUAAGCCUUAAGCUCUAUUGAUGCUGAGAAACCAGGCCAUUUUCAACUUAACAGUCCAAUCUGUUUGUCAAUCGUAUAAAAGUAUCCCUUUUUGACAAGAAGCCAUUGUGGGGUGACGUCUUUGUGCUGGGGUGAAUCAAUCAGGUUUACUGUUACAGUGUUUUGUUCUGUUGAUAUGGACAGAAUUUGAUUAAAGUAUUUUUGUAUAUGAUUUUGUUAAUGUAAAAUAAAUGUUUAAAGGAUA
RNA transcript from Esox lucius (northern pike), 2332 nucleotides. It is a transcript of the gene named MAX dimerization protein MLX, with no coding region annotated. The transcript has 9 exons. Lineage: Eukaryota; Metazoa; Chordata; Actinopteri; Esociformes; Esocidae. The record is from RefSeq and is a predicted model, not a curated record.